Molecule: ribosomal RNA, 468 nt
Filed under: uncultured bacterium
Lineage: Bacteria
Description: partial 16S ribosomal RNA
Rfam family: Bacterial small subunit ribosomal RNA
Source: RNAcentral
GACGAACGCUGGCGGCGUGCUUAACACAUGCAAGUCGAACGGAAAGGCCCUGCUUUUGUGGGGUGCUCGAGUGGCGAACGGGUGAGUAACACGUGAGUAACCUGCCCUUGACUUUGGGAUAACUUCAGGAAACUGGGGCUAAUACCGGAUAGGAGCUCCUGCUGCAUGGUGGGGGUUGGAAAGUUUCGGCGGUUGGGGAUGGACUCGCGGCUUAUCAGCUUGUUGGUGGGGUAGUGGCUUACCAAGGCUUUGACGGGUAGCCGGCCUGAGAGGGUGACCGGCCACAUUGGGACUGAGAUACGGCCCAGACUCCUACGGGAGGCAGCAGUGGGGAAUAUUGCACAAUGGGCGGAAGCCUGAUGCAGCAACGCCGCGUGCGGGAUGACGGCCUUCGGGUUGUAAACCGCUUUCUCCUGUGACGAAGCGUGAGUGACGGUAAUUGGUAAAGAAGCACCGGCUAACUACGUG